AUUUGCAGUAAGACCGAUUAAGCUUGUGUUUCAGAUGAAUGAAUUCACAAUCCCACCAAGCCCAGCUGAUGAAUAUAGAAAGCGAGACGAGAGGGGAUAAACAGCCUUCCAGGGUAGGUGGAAGGAAGAGAGAAUGGCAGGUAGGCAGAUGUGUGGCUAGGACAAGCCACCUCUUCUGUAGAGUUUAGGUUACUUCAUUUGAGGAAAAGAACUUGUAAGACAGUUCAUUCCGCCAAGAGGAUCUACGCGUCCAUCACACACAGCCUUGGGUGAUGCUAACCUCCCUGCCCUGCAACCCCUGGGGACCCCUGCUUCCUCCUCCUGCAGUGCUUGUCCCCGCUGGACAGAUUUGUCCCCAAGACUUAGCAAGGUCAUUUAGGAACCGGACAGCAUGAUGUCUGGCACAUGUUCUCUGGUGGAUUUCUGGACUCUACAUUCAGGACACUGCAGUGCAAGUCUCAUUAUGAAAAGAAGCCAAUUCCCGGUGAAACAGAAUGAAACAGUUUUCACCUGAGAGCAGAAGAGGGUCUUGCUAAGCUGGGCAGGCUGGGCUCAAACAUGUGGUCCUCUUGCUGCAAUCUCCCAGAGUGCUGGGACUGUAGGACACAACACCGGACACCCACACCCUGAAGGAGGAGACUUUAUUUUGGCUCGCGGUUUGAGUCCACAGUAGGCUGGUUCCAAGGCUGGACCGACGGCGUAAAAAGGUCUGGUGGAGAAAAGCUGCCUACAUCAGGGCAGCCAGGAAGGGGAGCCGCAAGGGAGGAGCUGGCGAGGGAGAUGGGCCCUUCCGGGGUACACCCCAGUGGCCUCUCCCACCACGUCUCUCCUGCCCGCAGCACACUCCGUUCUGAACUCAUGGAAGAACUGAUCCACCGUUGAGUGGAGAUUGAAGAUCCAGUCACUUUUCCCACACAUGAGGAAUUCAGGGGACAUUUUAGGUCUAAACCAUAAGAGUGAUUUUGUUUAAAGUAUGCCCCUUGCAAAAGAAUCUGGAAUUAGGUUUUACUUUUUGUUAUCCAAUUUGAAAUUCUUUUUAAAAAGGAAAAUUAAACCCAUCAAAAAACUAAUCAUUUUUGUUUAUGUGAAAUUAUGUGAUGCUUUUUUGAAAUAAAUCUCUUAGUAAUGGC
Molecule: long non-coding RNA, 1130 nt
Organism: Heterocephalus glaber (naked mole-rat)
Lineage: Eukaryota; Metazoa; Chordata; Mammalia; Rodentia; Bathyergidae
Source: Ensembl